Molecule: ribosomal RNA, 374 nt
Filed under: uncultured bacterium
Lineage: Bacteria
Description: bacterial SSU rRNA
Rfam family: Bacterial small subunit ribosomal RNA
Source: RNAcentral
UACGAAGGGGGCUAGCGUUGUUCGGAAUUACUGGGCGUAAAGGGCGCGUAGGCGGUCUUGUAAGUCAGAUGUGAAAGCCCCGGGCUCAACCCGGGAAUAGCAUUUGAUACUGCGAGGCUUGAGUCCGGGAGAGGAUGGCGGAAUUCCCAGUGUAGAGGUGAAAUUCGUAGAUAUUGGGAAGAACACCGGUGGCGAAGGCGGCCAUCUGGACCGGUACUGACGCUGAGGCGCGAAAGCGUGGGGAGCAAACAGGAUUAGAUACCCUGGUAGUCCACGCCGUAAACGAUGAGUGCUAGACGCUGGGGGGUUAACCCUUCGGUGUCGCAGCUAACGCAUUAAGCACUCCGCCUGGGGAGUACGGCCGCAAGGUUGAA